This is a long non-coding RNA of Cyprinus carpio (common carp), 1060 nucleotides long. The record is from Ensembl. NCBI's taxonomy places the organism in Eukaryota, Metazoa, Chordata, Actinopteri, Cypriniformes, Cyprinidae.
AGAACAUUUCCAUAGUUUUUCUGCAUUGUUUUAAUUUCUUUUACACAUAUUUAAUUACUAUAAUUAUUUUUGAUAUCUGGGAUACAUACGACCUGUCCUGUGUAUGUGGAUGAGAGUAAAACGCAUUUGGAUUGAGACAUGGAGCAGCUCUUUUUUCUUCUCAUUCACGUAUUUGCUUCUUCAUCCUUAAUCUCAGCAGGAAAUGACACGAGCAUACAAACUACGUUACCUCCAAACACAAAUGCUACUUCUCCAUGUUCUGCUGAUUCAAGAACAGAAGUCCAAACUGAAAAAACAACGACUUCUACUUUUUCAUCUCAAUAUGAGAAUAACAUGACCAGCCACACAUCAAAAACUGUGAGCACAACCACAGCUCCUGUAUCUUCUAGCCACACAGUGGGUGUUUCUGUACUUGCAAACACUUCAACAACAGCUAAUUCAAACAUCAGCAUGUCAGAGGGGACGCCAACACCUUCACAGGCACCAGACAGCAGCCUCACUUCGCUCGCCUUUGGUGUGAUGAGUCUUAUACUCAUUUUAAUUGUUGUCAUGGUGGUCUUGGUGACUGCUAUCAACCUCAGGGGACGGUGUAGAGACAUCAAACAACACAAGAGUAUUAAAAGCUGUGAUUCUGUGGUGUCUGACAGCAACAUGACCAGCAACUGUGAGAAAGAGAGCAUCACUCUUGUCUCUGUGAGGACAAUAAACACAGAAAACAAUACAGAUUCUCCCCAGAUGUCUUCAGUUCACAGCACUAUACUGGACAAUGAGGACCAAGAAUUUAGCAGAGACUUGCUGUUCAUCAAUGAUGGACUGUGAUUUCACUCAGUUCAUAGUGCAUGAGAUUGGAGGCUGCAUAAUAUAUUUAUAAUGUUAAAUGAAUGUGAACUAAUGUGCCUCUAGCUGAUGGUCAGUGUACAGAUCACACAUCAUGCUUAUGGCCUACAUUGGUGCACUGCAUAUAAAAUGAUCCCUAUAUCAGACAUGCUCUCGUAUAUUGAACAUGACACAUACUUCAUUGAUAAAUAAAAUGUCACUUUUGUGUUGAUAUUCUUUUUCA